AUAACGGUCCUAAGGUAGCGAAAUUCCUUGUCAGGUAAGUUCUGACCCGCACGAAUGGCGUAACGACUUGAGAGCUGUCUCAACAACAUACCCGGCGAAAUUGAAGUACUGGUAAAGAUGCCAGUUACCCGUGAUAAGACGGAAAGACCCCAUGGAGCUUUACUGUAACUUGAUAUUGAAUUUUUGUAUUACAUGUACAGGAUAGGUGGGAGACAGAGAACUAAUGCCGCCAGGUGUUAGGGAGUCGAUGUUGGGAUACCACUCUUGUAAUAUGAAGGUUCUAACCUGCACCCGUGAAUCCGGGUGGGGGACACUGUCAGGUGGACAGUUUGACUGGGGCGGUCGCCUCCUAAAAGGUAACGGAGGCGUUCAAAGGUUGGUUCAGCACGGACGGAAAUCGUGCAACGAGUGCAAACGCAUAAACCAGCCUAACUGCGAGACCGACAAGUCGAGCAGUAACGAAAGUUGGAGUUAGUGAUCCGGCGGUAUGAGAGUGGAAUUGCCGUCGCUCAACGGAUAAAAGCUACCCUGGGGAUAACAGGCUGAUCUCCCCCAAGAGUCCACAUCGACGGGGAGGUUUGGCACCUCGAUGUCGGCUCAUCGCAUCCUGGAGCUGUAGCAGGUUCCAAGGGUUGGGCUGUUCGCCCAUUAAAGCGGUACGCGAGCUGGGUUCAGAACGUCGCGAGACAGUUCGGUCCCUAUCUAUCACGGGCGUAGGAAAUUUGAGGAGAGCUGACCUUAGUACGAGAGGACCGGGUUGGACGUACCGCUGGUGCACCUGUUGUUCUGCCAAGGGCAUAGCAGGGUAGCUAAGUACGGACGGGAUAAACGCUGAAGGCAUCUAAGCGUGAAGCCCCCUUCGAGAUAAGAUUUCCCAUAGCGUAGGCUAGUAAGGACCCAUGAAGACUACAUGGUUGAUAGGCCGGAGGUGGAAGUGCAGUAAUGUAUGUAGCUGACCGGUACUAAUAGUCCGAGGGCUUGACCAA
Molecule: ribosomal RNA, 986 nt
Filed under: human gut metagenome
Description: bacterial LSU rRNA
Rfam family: Bacterial large subunit ribosomal RNA
Source: RNAcentral